CACCGACUGCUCCAGUUGAUAGUAGCCUCGGGGACUACACCAAGUGGGUGCGCUCAACGCGCCCCCACUGGAAAGAUAGAGGAUAAGGGAUCCACACCUGACCGGCCUCUAUCGAUCAAUACAAGGAAACUGAGACUACCGCUAACUGCCUGAGGCGACGGUAGCCUCGAGGACAACACCGAGUGGGUGCGCUAAGCGCGCCCCCAUUGGAAAGAUAGAGCAAAGAAAAGGCAUGCGCACCCGACUAGUCUUUGUCGAACAUACAAAGAAAAUAAGACUACCGCCGACUGCCCCAGUCGAUGGCAGACUCGGGGACUACACCUAGUGAGUAUGCUCAACGCGCUCCCACUAAAAGCAAACACCCAACAGGUGUGCCGUCGAGCAUGCCCACUCGAGAUUCCAAGUCGGGAACAGAUUCAGAAACAAGUAUGAAACAAAUGCAUACGUGAAGGAUUCACCCGAAUGUUCUUUGCCACUGCUUCACUCGCAUCAUACACCUCCUUCAAUCGCCCAACCAGCACGUCUAGCUGAGCCAAGGCUUCCUCACGCGCCCCCUCCUGAUCCUUCGGGAUAUGGUGGAGCUGGAAGAUGUUGUGAUCCUUGGGGAGAGGGUCAGCGGAUCCAGUUUGAGUGACGCCACAAUCGAGGCGGCCUCCUACAUGUGGCGCUCCGCCUGAUUAGUAAUGUUCCUAGACGGUCGCCGCACAUGCCAGCCCAAGAAAUCACUCUGGCAUGCACGUUUACAACAGGUAUCAUGAACAUAGGCAUUUCUAUUAAUGAAUAUAAGAGUUUUACACAAUGAGCUACAAGGUUAAUGGCAGCGAAAAAAGCUCUAUCUAAGGCAGCAUGGUCUUGAUGCAGCUCCAAUCCACAGGGAUCUGACUCGGUUACGCUCCUAGACCGCAAAUGCUCUGUCUCCUUAGCGACGAACGACGGAUCCUUAUGUGAACCUGGCCACAUUAAAAGUCGCUGAGUACUUUUGAAUGUACUCGCAAGCGAACCAAACUAACAUAUACACCAAGCAAAGUAAUCCAUGGCAUUCAAGCAGGUAUUUGUUAUUAGAGCAAUAUUAAUCAUCAUGACAUAGCCUACCUAUCUAGCAAGGUUAAUUAUCAAGGUAUAACAGGGUUAUCUAAAUAGAUAACUUCUGAAGUAAAUGCUAUAAGGUAAAGCAUAUUAGGUAAAUGAUUUAUACUCCGACUAUUCUCAUGAUCCAGUCUGAAUCUGAUUCAAAUCCAACCCUACUGAUGUGGUCAUCCAACCACUCAUCUCAUAGCCAUCUCAUGGCUAACAUGUCAUAUACCGGACAUCUUCCGAUGUCUACACCAGACGAGUUCUUCCAUCAUUAUCAUCACUCUUACGGUUGAUCACCUACUGAGGUCUGGUCGUGCUGUCCAAUACCAUGGACUCGGCUAUUCGAAUAGAUUUUACACUCUGCAGAGGUUGCACACUUUACCCAGACUAUGGAGCACUCACCUCGAGAUCCCAAUCGGGUGGACCAGCAUUACUCGAACAAAACUUGCCUGAACCGUGACCCUCUCAUCAUAUCCCCGGAAACCACUCCCUUCCGGAGUCUUUCCCUCGGUGGACCUGUGUCCUCAUGACACCUACCACCAUCGUGGCCAAACAAAACUGUCCCAACCGGGGACGGGACCAACUCAACUUAACUGGGCUCACAGGGUUAUCAUCACCUACCUGAUCAGGGUAGCACGCAUGCAUAACCCCCCCCCCCUCUUUGGAGGUACCGGUGAGAGCGAUCACGUGAACAGCUCAAGUCACGGCCGUCCCAUAUCGGCAAAUGUGGUUGCACGAAAAAGCCCAGACAGGUGACUCGAGAUCAACCCAUUAGGUUUGGCUUAAACAACAUAUUUAUCAAGCAUGGUUGUUGUCAACAAUGACUUAACAUGAUGAUGAUUAUGCAUGAAAUAACAACGGUAGAAACACCACAACCUGUUUCUAUAUAAUGAGUCAUUAAUAAGACAUUAUGUAAAUGACAAGUUAUUACUUGAUGAUUUCUAACUGUAAAUUAGACCCUCGGAACCCUCGCAUAAAACCAACAAAUAAAUCGGUAGCCACCAGAACGGCUAUGACAACACAGAUCUGGGACCUUACCGGAAUAACUCAACCGCGGCUCAAGAUGGCUGGAAAGCAGCUCAGAGCAUGAUGUGGUGUUGAUAAUAAGAAUGUAGCAGUUCCCUAAGACGACCGAAGAACAGCUUAGAGCAUAGGGUCACUGCCUCGGAAAGAAAUUCAACAGCCCCGUGACGGCUGAAAAACAGCUCAGAACACGGGUCAGCGGCUGACAAGAGAAAUAUAAAGUUGGCACCCACCCCGGACGACCGAAAACAGCUCAGAAUCAAGCGUGGUUCCAUUAUUGAAGAAAAUGCGAGCAAGGGUUCGUCAGCAUCUCAUACAGAACAUUACUAUACACUCACACAUAAGCAUAUUGAAAUAAUAUGCAAGAACAUCGCAGAGCAAAGCUUUAGGGCAUAUAUCACAUGGUCGGCUUGCCUGGGGUUGAAGAAUACUCCCGGAAGAGGUGCUGAGAGUCCGCGGAAAGGAUCGCCAGACAUCGCUCUCUCUUGAAGGGGGCUGAUUGGAGACAAGGGCAAAAGGGUCAUUUUCACAGUCUCACCACCUUGUGAAAAUGCUAUCAACAUGACGGGAUCGACGAGACGAAGCCGAGGGUUUUGGAAUCACCUCAAUCGGAGUCCCGAGCAAAAAGAUAAGACCCGAUGAAGUUUAGGGACCUAUCCAUAAAAAUAAAUUCCUACAAACAGGUCCCUGACUGGAAACAGAACGCGCCUCCGGGCCGAGUACGCUUUUCAAAAGAGAAAGCGCAUUCCGGAGAAUACAUUUUCACUUAAGCGCGGGGGCCCGGGGCUGAUCAACGCCUCACAGGCUGACGAAUGGGGCCAAUGGCAUCUCCUUCCUCCCUCUCUCUCUCGCCUCCCUCCCCUCGCUCAUCUUCUUCCUCCCGACAGGACAGGGGACAGGGAGGGGCUCGACGCCGGCGACGGCUGCCGGUUGCUCCGGCCAUCAUUCGUCGCUCUCUGGCCACCAACAAGCUCAGGGGACCAAGCUGCAUCCAUCCCCGUAGGUGGCGGAGCCUGGGGAGAACCCGGGCGAGGUUGCCCCUAGCCAUGGCGGGCGGGGCUCGGGCGCCGAAUGGUGCGGCGACUACCGGCUGUCAGAGGGCUAGGAGAGGGGUUGGAGAGGUCCACGCCGCAGAGGGGAGGACAAGGGCGAGGUCAGAAGGAAGAGAAGGGGCCUGCACCACGCGAAUUUAGCAAUGGAGGGGCGGCGGCCAUGGCGGCGAUUGGAGGCAAGGAGAGGAGCCAAAGCUCCGGGGAGGGGACGGGGACGAUCAGUGGAGUGGGGAGAGGAGAAUGGGGGGCUGAGAUGCUCGGGGUAAGGCUCAGUCAUGG
This 3428-nucleotide long non-coding RNA is filed under the name Hordeum vulgare. RNAcentral's name for it is "long non-coding RNA (HVUL_LNC012398)". Lineage: Eukaryota; Viridiplantae; Streptophyta; Magnoliopsida; Poales; Poaceae. The record is from RNAcentral.